UACUAGGCUGACUGUGGUCUAUAAAAC
Molecule: non-coding RNA, 27 nt
Filed under: Rattus norvegicus (Norway rat)
Lineage: Eukaryota; Metazoa; Chordata; Mammalia; Rodentia; Muridae
Source: RNAcentral